CCUACGGGAGGCAGCAGUGGGGAAUAUUGGACAAUGGGCGAAAGCCUGAUCCAGCAAUGCCGCGUGAGUGAUGAAGGCCUUCGGGUCGUAAAGCUCUUUUACCAGGGAUGAUAAUGACAGCACCUGGAGAAUAAGCUCCGGCUAACUCCGUGCCAGCAGCCGCGGUAAUACGGAGGGAGCUAGCGUUGUUCGGAAUUACUGGGCGUAAAGAGUACGUAGGCGGUUAUUCAAGUCAGAGGUGAAAGCCCGGGGCUCAACCCCGGAACUGCCUUUGAAACUAGAUAGCUAGAGUCUUGGAGAGGUUAGUGGAAUUCCGAGUGUAGAGGUGAAAUUCGUAGAUAUUCGGAAGAACACCAGUGGCGAAGGCGACUAACUGGACAAGUACUGACGCUGAGGUACGAAAGCGUGGGGAGCAAACAGGAUUAGAUACCCUGGUAGUCCACGCCGUAAACGAUGAUAACUAGUUGUUCGGUCACUUGGUGACUGAGUGACGCAGCUAACGCAUUAAGUUAUCCGCCUGGGGAGUACGGUCGCAAGAUUAAAACUUAAAGGAAUUGACGG
RNAcentral lists this ribosomal RNA (561 nucleotides) under uncultured bacterium. RNAcentral's name for it is "bacterial SSU rRNA". It matches the Rfam family "Bacterial small subunit ribosomal RNA", at positions 338 to 916 of the family's 1533-position model. The record is from RNAcentral.